UCCAGACUCCUACGGGAGGCAGCAGUGAGGAAUAUUGGUCAAUGGGCGCGAGCCUGAACCAGCCAAGUCGCGUGAGGGAAGACGGUCCUAUGGAUUGUAAACCUCUUUUGUCGGGGAGCAAAGGACGCCACGCGUGGCGUUCCGAGAGUACCCGAAGAAAAAGCAUCGGCUAACUCCGUGCCAGCAGCCGCGGUAAUACGGAGGAUGCGAGCGUUAUCCGGAUUUAUUGGGUUUAAAGGGUGCGCAGGCGGCGAGUUAAGUCAGCGGUAAAAUUUCGGGGCUCAACCCCGUACUGCCGUUGAAACUGCAUCCCUUGAGUGCGCGAGAAGUAUGCGGAAUGCGUGGUGUAGCGGUGAAAUGCAUAGAUAUCACGCAGAACUCCGAUUGCGAAGGCAGCAUACCGGCGCGCAACUGACGCUCAUGCACGAAAGCGUGGGUAUCGAACAGGAUUAGAUACCCUAGUA
Molecule: ribosomal RNA, 464 nt
Filed under: uncultured bacterium
Lineage: Bacteria
Description: bacterial SSU rRNA
Rfam family: Bacterial small subunit ribosomal RNA
Source: RNAcentral